GACGAACGCUGGCGGCGUGCCUAAUACAUGCAAGUAGAACGCUUAAGGAGGAGCUUGCUUCUCUGGAUGAGUUGCGAACGGGUGAGUAACGCGUAGGUAACCUGCCUGGUAGCGGGGGAUAACUAUUGGAAACGAUAGCUAAUACCGCAUAAGAGUAGAUGUUGCAUGACAUUUGCUUAAAAGGUGCAAUUGCAUCACUACCAGAUGGACCUGCGUUGUAUUAGCUAGUUGGUGAGGUAACGGCUCACCAAGGCAACGAUACAUAGCCGACCUGAGAGGGUGAUCGGACACACUGGGACUGAGACAAGGCCCUGACUCAUACGGGAGGCAGCAGUAGGGAAUCUUCGGCAAUGGACGGAAGUCUGACCGAGCAACGCCGCGUGAGUGAAGAAGGUUUUCGGAUCGUAAAGCUCUGUUGUAAGAGAAGAACGAGUGUGAGAGUGGAAAGUUCAAACUGUGACGGUAUCUUACCAGAAAGGGACGGCUAACUACGUG
This 495-nucleotide ribosomal RNA is filed under the name uncultured bacterium. Its description in RNAcentral is "partial 16S ribosomal RNA". It matches the Rfam family "Bacterial small subunit ribosomal RNA", at positions 28 to 507 of the family's 1533-position model. The record is from RNAcentral.